This 264-nucleotide ribosomal RNA is filed under the name uncultured archaeon. RNAcentral's name for it is "partial 16S ribosomal RNA". It matches the Rfam family "Archaeal small subunit ribosomal RNA", at positions 714 to 982 of the family's 1478-position model. The record is from RNAcentral.
AGACGUCUACAUUAGAUACCCCCGUAGUCCCAGCCCUAAACGAUGCGCGUUAGGUGUAUCGGUGACCACGAGUCACCGAGGUGCCGAAGGGAAACCGUGAAACGUGCCGCCUGGGAAGUACGGUCGCAAGGCUGAAACUUAAAGGAAUUGGCGGGGAGCACCACAACGGGUGGAGCCUGCGGUUUAAUUGGACUCAACGCCGGGAAGCUCACCGGAUAAGACAGCGGAAUGAUUGCCGGGCUGAAGACUCUGCAUGACUAGCUG